This 536-nucleotide long non-coding RNA is filed under the name Sorghum bicolor (sorghum). RNAcentral's name for it is "long non-coding RNA (SBIC_LNC015320)". Lineage: Eukaryota; Viridiplantae; Streptophyta; Magnoliopsida; Poales; Poaceae. The record is from RNAcentral.
UGUUUCUGUUAAACCUGAGCAAAGGUCACAGAAUCUACCCUCAUACUGGUUUCUUUUGAAUUGGCUAAUUGGGAUUUACAAGUCAGGCACUUGUUAGGAUUGAAACAGAAUAUAUAGAUUCCUGAGAAGUUUCUGCUUCUACGUAUAAAAAGCAAGGUGCAACCAUGUGCAAGUGCAAUAAAGCUAAAUACUUAAAACACAGUAGCUUUGUAAAAGUUCUCUCAAAACUAGUAUCUGCGAUGGAAAAUUGAAAUAGUGAUUCACAGCAGAGAUAGGACAAGGAUAGUAAACAGGAAACCUGGAGUCAACCUAGACAGUAAGUAAUUGGCGUUAUAAGUGUUUACUUCAUUUUGUUACACUUUAGUACUUUGCCAUUUUCUCAUUUCUCUUUCCUUUGAUGCUACAGAAUUAAUUUGGAACAGUAGAAAGUGUUUGUAUGCAUUACCAUAGCCUUGGAUAAAGUAUGCACAGGUGGUCACUCUCAUGAACUCUUCAAUCUCAUUACUUAACGGAGCCCCUCCUGAAAUUAAUAAGCG